UACUCAAAAUAAAUUUUGUUAUCAAAGAGCUGGAUAAUAAAUCAACAACAACAUAUAUUGCAAUAGAGACAUGGUCAAUAUCAAUUCAUAAUAUGUUUGAUAGAAUAUUCAGUGUUCAAUAUAGAGUAUUCAAUGAACUCUGAUCCAGAGCUGCACGGCAUUCUGGGAGAUGUAGGCAGAGGAAAGUCUUUAGCUGCUCAACCUCUCACAGCCAGCUAAGUAAGGCUUCUGGAAUCAACUAACUGACUCACUCUCUGGUUACCUAGCAACUCACUCUCACUUUGGUUACCUAGCAACGACUUGGUGAGUAACUGACGCAGCAGCAUCAGUUUAAAUUUUCAACUUU
This is a long non-coding RNA of Poecilia latipinna (sailfin molly), 346 nucleotides long. RefSeq lists it as uncharacterized. The record is from RefSeq and is a predicted model, not a curated record. The transcript is spliced from 3 exons. NCBI's taxonomy places the organism in Eukaryota, Metazoa, Chordata, Actinopteri, Cyprinodontiformes, Poeciliidae.